AUGAUGGAGUCAAAAGACAAGUUACCUGGAAAGAAGCCACAGUCAGGGGUUGGGAGAGGGCAGAUGCGCGGCUGCGGAGCUAGGUGGGAGCCCUGGAGGCGUUUGAGGGGACACGUGGAAUUUGAACUGCUGCACUGUCUUAAUCCGGGCCUCGUCCACCCAAGCCCUCUGCGGCGCGAGGACCACAGAGCAUCUGCUUUUCUUACGGUCCAGGCCCUCGAGACCCCGCCCCACUGGAGGCCCUGCUCAUUGGAGGCCUGCCCAUUGGAGGUGCAGUCUGGUUGCCUUGGCAACCCCCCCGCGGCCGUGUUCCGGGCUUGGCGUGCCGCAGGGGAACGCGGUUGCCACAGCAACGGUGGGGCGUGUCCGGCCAGGCACCCGGAGCGGAGCGUUCAUCCCGCAGACGCGGAUGCUGUUGCUCCUGAGACGAGAGGGCCCUUGAGGCACCGAGCCAGACGCGGAAAGAAUCCAUCAAUCAUCCGGGACCCCUUCGGUGCAGAUGACCCUGUGGAUGGUCGACGGGGCGUGGGUGUUUCCAGCAGAGGGGCUUCAGCCGGAGAAAGCGGCUCACAGAGAGUUUCCGCCCGCCCGCCGCCCGAAGGAGCAGAAGGGAGGGAGCCGGAGGCCAGCCCGCACCCCGUGAGGCUGCUGCUUGCUGAGCGCCCACCAGGAGCAGCCUGCGGCUGGGGUCCCUCCACCCUGAGUCUGCUCGUGGAGGGCUGUGGGCUCCCCGCCGCCCCUCACCUGAGAGGCACUCUCUAGGGAAGUGGGUGACCUGGAGGGGGCCCUGUGCAGGGGUCUCGGGCAGCAGUGAGUGGAGGCAGCCUGGCAGCCCUGGAGGACAGCGUGUUUCCUGGGACAGGGAGACAGGAGAGAGAUGCCAGCGGCCUCCUGGUCUGAGCCACAUUCUGGGCAUGGGGCAGGGAGAGAAGAAGCAGAGCGCGCCUAGAAACGAGAGGGAGGCCAGCAGAGCGCCCCGGGGUAGCCGUCCACGUGAGCCACCUGUACCAGUCCCACCUGCCGGCGGGGGAGCUGCCCCGGCCGGGCCCAGCACACCCGCUACACGAGGACCAGGGCCUUGGCAGAGCUGGGGGUGCCAGAGGGCCUGCCCACCUCCAGGGGAGAUCCAGGCCGCGGCCCUGAUGGCAAGCCCCGCCUAGAAUGCCACAGCUUUUGCCUCUGCAGGCCCACCUGGCCGGCGUCUGGGAGGACGCUUCUCCUCCGGGCCGGCGGCCUCCCUGUCCCUGCGCGCUCCCCACUAUAAUGGAGCUGCCCUGGGGAGUCAGGUCCCUGCUCUGAACCUCAGGAUCCUAGUCCAUAGAGAGCCUGCUUUCCUCAAGGGGUGCCAGGCUCGGCUGAGUGAAGUGCUGAAAAGUGAGGACAGGCAACCCCAGAGCUCACC
RNAcentral lists this long non-coding RNA (1402 nucleotides) under Capra hircus (goat). RNAcentral's name for it is "lncRNA (ENSCHIG00010003342.1)". Lineage: Eukaryota; Metazoa; Chordata; Mammalia; Artiodactyla; Bovidae. The record is from RNAcentral.